Molecule: ribosomal RNA, 434 nt
Filed under: uncultured Phenylobacterium sp.
Lineage: Bacteria; Pseudomonadati; Pseudomonadota; Alphaproteobacteria; Caulobacterales; Caulobacteraceae
Description: bacterial SSU rRNA
Rfam family: Bacterial small subunit ribosomal RNA
Source: RNAcentral
ACGGGAGGCAGCAGUAGGGAAUCUUGCGCAAUGGGCGAAAGCCUGACGCAGCCAUGCCGCGUGAAUGAUGAAGGUCUUAGGAUUGUAAAAUUCUUUCACCGGGGAAGAUAAUGACGGUACCCGGAGAAGAAGCCCCGGCUAACUUCGUGCCAGCAGCCGCGGUAAUACGAAGGGGGCUAGCGUUGCUCGGAAUUACUGGGCGUAAAGGGCGCGUAGGCGGACAUUUAAGUCAGAGGUGAAAGCCCAGGGCUCAACCUUGGAAUUGCCUUUGAUACUGGAUGUCUUGAGUUCGGGAGAGGUGAGUGGAAUGCCGAGUGUAGAGGUGAAAUUCGUAGAUAUUCGGCGGAACACCAGUGGCGAAGGCGACUCACUGGCCCGAUACUGACGCUGAGGCGCGAAAGCGUGGGGAGCAAACAGGAUUAGAUACCCUGGUA